RNAcentral lists this ribosomal RNA (536 nucleotides) under uncultured Alphaproteobacteria bacterium. RNAcentral's name for it is "bacterial SSU rRNA". It matches the Rfam family "Bacterial small subunit ribosomal RNA", at positions 152 to 722 of the family's 1533-position model. Lineage: Bacteria; Pseudomonadati; Pseudomonadota; Alphaproteobacteria. The record is from RNAcentral.
GGAAACUUGUGCUAAUACCGAAUAAGCCCUUACGGGGAAAGUUUUAACGCCGAAAGAUGAGCCUGCACUUGAUUAGCUAGUUGGUAAGGUAAAAGCUUACCAAGGCAACGAUCAAUAGCUGUUCUUAGAGGAAGACCAGCCACAUUGGGACUGAGACACGGCCCAGACUCCUACGGGAGGCAGCAGUGGGGAAUCUUGCACAAUGGGGGAAACCCUGAUGCAGCGAUGCCGCGUGAGUGAAGAAGGCCUUUGGGUUGUAAAACUCUUUCGUCGGGGAAGAAAAUGACUGUACCCGAAUAAGAAGGUCCGGCUAACUUCGUGCCAGCAGCCGCGGUAAUACGAAGGGACCUAGCGUAGUUCGGAAUUACUGGGCUUAAAGAGCUCGUAGGUGGUUAAAAAAGUUGAUGGUGAAAUCCCAAGGCUCAACCUUGGAACUGCCAUCAAAACUUUUUAGCUAGAGUGUGAUAGAGGUAAGUGGAAUUUCUAGUGUAGAGGUGAAAUUCGUAGAUAUUAGAAAGAACACCAAAUGCGAAGGC